AGAGUUUGAUCCUGGCUCAGGAUGAACGCUAGCUACAGGCUUAACACAUGCAAGUCGAGGGGAAACGACAUCGAAAGCUUGCUUUUGAUGGGCGUCGACCGGCGCACGGGUGAGUAACGCGUAUCCAACCUGCCCACCACUUGGGGAUAACCUUGCGAAAGUAAGACUAAUACCCAAUGACGUCUCUAGAAGACAUCUGAAAGGGAUUAAAGAUUUAUCGGUGAUGGAUGGGGAUGCGUCUGAUUAGCUUGUUGGCGGGGUAACGGCCACAAGGCUACGACCAGUAGGGGUUCUGAGAGGAAGGUCCCCCANAUUGGAACUGAGACACGGUCCAAACUCCUACGGGAGGCA
This 351-nucleotide ribosomal RNA is filed under the name uncultured bacterium. RNAcentral describes it as "bacterial SSU rRNA". It matches the Rfam family "Bacterial small subunit ribosomal RNA", at positions 8 to 350 of the family's 1533-position model. The record is from RNAcentral.